ACCAAUCCAGAACCCCCCCUCAAACUUCCCUUUUGCUGCAUUUUUCAAUCCCUCUUCAACCCAAGGUUCAGUGAUGGGAGACAGAUGUGCGUGAUGCUCCGUUCAGUGCCGUUGAGCCGGAAGCCAACGGGUAUAUUAAAAAGUACACUGAUACUGUUACUGGGGAGGCCCCUGCUAUAAGACAUCCUCUGGUCGCUGCAGCGAGCGGAUGUUAUCGCAGUCUCAGGGGCUCAGGCUGCCCGCUGGCACCUGACAGGCAGGACUCAGGGCGCGAAUGUAAUACGUCAUGCGGAAGUAGAUCCGCUAUAAGUUCGACGUUACUUCCGUUCGCCGCCUCUCUCUCCGCGGCGACCUCAUGGCAACGCAGCGCGUUCACUUGCUCUCCCACUACUCGGACGUGAUGUCUGGUUGUUAAGCUGAUCAAGGAUGAGCUGAAGGUCCUGUCUGCAGGAACCCAGUUGGGCUUCCAGAUGUCUUUGUCCACGCAUGAAGAAAGCCUGAUUGUGCUGUAACAGGAUGAAGACCCGUUGACCGCAGCAGGGUCCAUUGUGGCCGACAAGGAACUGGGUUGGCACUCUGGAGACGCAUCUCCAGGUAGCUCAUCUGGUUUGACUUUACUUCCAGAGUGUGCGCUCGAGUACCCAGACUGCUCCUGAAGGCCAUUCUGCAGACCUACAAUGAGGAUGCAAGAGCUCUGACUGGCCCGAUCAAAACAUAAGACACCUGAACAUAAUUUUGCUGAGAAAUCAAUAAAGUUGGCUGGUUAUUCAUACAUUGUUGUGUGAAUCUGCUUAAAAUUCAAAUAUUCAUUUAGCCAGUCCUCACAAAGCAAUGGAUAAAGGAUUGUAGUGGCAAUUUAUCCUUGUGAGUGAUACACUUGUGUCAAAGGGCCACUGAUUCACCACAGGUUUGUUCUUUUUAUGCAUAAAGAGGGC
This is a long non-coding RNA of Gasterosteus aculeatus aculeatus (three-spined stickleback), 935 nucleotides long. The record is from Ensembl. NCBI's taxonomy places the organism in Eukaryota, Metazoa, Chordata, Actinopteri, Perciformes, Gasterosteidae.